GAUGAACGCUGGCGGCAUGCCUAAUACAUGCAAGUCGGACGGGCAGUGGUGUUUCUUGCGGCGGACGGGUUAGCAACGCGCAAGAACCUGCCCCUGGGAGGGGAACAAUAGCUGGCAAGGGUAGCUAAUACACCGCAGGCCUAGUAGCAAAUGGAGUAAUCCACCCGAGGAGGGGCUCGCGACUGAUUAACUAGUUGUUGCUGCUAUAGCUUACCAAGGCGAUUUACAGUAGUUGGUGCGAGAGGACGAUCGGCCACACUGGGACGGAGACACGCCGCAGGCACCUACGGGAGGCGGGCGAAAGGAAUAUUCCGCAAUGGGCGGAAGGUGAACAAGGCCAUGCGGCGUGAAGGUAGAGGGCCUACGGAUCGAGAACUUCGUUUGCCGGAGAAGAAGCAAUGACGGUAUCUGGGGAAUAAGCAACGGCUAACUCUGUG
This 437-nucleotide ribosomal RNA is filed under the name uncultured bacterium. RNAcentral's name for it is "partial 16S ribosomal RNA". It matches the Rfam family "Bacterial small subunit ribosomal RNA", at positions 28 to 507 of the family's 1533-position model. The record is from RNAcentral.